Notothenia coriiceps (black rockcod) is the source of this 404-nucleotide long non-coding RNA. RefSeq lists it as uncharacterized. Lineage: Eukaryota; Metazoa; Chordata; Actinopteri; Perciformes; Nototheniidae. The record is from RefSeq and is a predicted model, not a curated record. The transcript is spliced from 2 exons.
UGAAGGUUAACAAAAGCACAAACUGGAAAGUGUCUGUUCAAAACUUUUAUUAGAAUUGUUUAAGUACGGUAGCGUGGAGGAGGAAACGGAGGAAGCAUUGGUAUGGGCAAGUGAACAUGGGGAUGAUGUUUUGGCUUUGUUGCUGGAUAAAGAGGAUUAAAGGGAGGAUACAUGGGCAUAUAUCGUGGAAACGGCAUCUGAGCGUAUUGAGGCAUCGGAGGGUAGUGAGGCAUCGGAGGGUAUUGAGGCAUCGGAGGGUAUUGAGGCAUCGGAGGGUAUUGAGGCACCUCAGGGUAUUGAGGCAUCGAGGGUAUUGAGGCACCUCAGGGUAUUGAGGCGACCUCAGGGUAUUGAGGCAACUGAGGGUAUUGAGGUCAUCUCGAGGGUAUUGAGGCAUCGUGAGG